Molecule: ribosomal RNA, 465 nt
Filed under: uncultured bacterium
Lineage: Bacteria
Description: partial 16S ribosomal RNA
Rfam family: Bacterial small subunit ribosomal RNA
Source: RNAcentral
GACGAACGCUGGCGGCGUGCUUAACACAUGCAAGUCGAACGGAAAGGCCCCUUUGGGGGUACUCGAGUGGCGAACGGGUGAGUAACACGUGAGUAACCUGCCCUUGACUUCGGGAUAACUUCAGGAAACUGGGGCUAAUACCGGAUAGGAAUCCUUGCUGCAUGGUGGGGGUUGGAAAGCUUCGGCGGUUUUGGAUGGACUCGCGGCUUAUCAGCUUGUUGGUGGGGUAGUGGCUUACCAAGGCUUUGACGGGUAGCCGGCCUGAGAGGGCGACCGGCCACAUUGGGACUGAGAUACGGCCCAGACGCCUACGGGAGGCAGUAGGGGGGAAUAUUGCACAAUGGGCGGAAGCCUGAUGCAGCAACGCCGCGUGCGGGAGGACGGCCUUCGGGUUGGAAACCGCUUUCAGCAGGGGCGAAGCUUGUGGUGACGGUACCUGCAGAAGAAGCACCGGCUAACUACGUG